Molecule: long non-coding RNA, 1115 nt
Organism: Magnolia sinica
Lineage: Eukaryota; Viridiplantae; Streptophyta; Magnoliopsida; Magnoliales; Magnoliaceae
Exons: 3
Source: RefSeq, a predicted model, not a curated record
UCUCUCUCUCUCUCUCUCUCUCUCUCUCUCUCGCACGACUCUCAGCUUCUUCCUACCCCCGACUCUCUCUCUCUCGCGCGAGCUGCCAUUAAUUUCAGGGCUUAAAUGAAGAUCUGAAAUAGGGAUCUCUCUCUCUCUCUCUCUCUCUCUCUCUCUCUCUCUCUCUCCACCCACGUUCUUGUUGCCGAAGCCCUACCCACGCACGCCCUCUCUCUCUGAAGAUCGGUUGAGGUAUUUCUCUCUCUCUCUCUCUCUCUCUCUCUCUCUCUCUCUAUCUCAAUGCCGAUUUAGGGAUUUUAGGGUGGAUUGUCUAAAAUAGGGAUUUGGGGAUUUUAGGGUGGAUUUGUCAAUGCAUAUGGGGAUUUACGUGAUCAGGACCCAUCCAUUCUGCAAUCCACGUUGUAAUGGGCCAUGACCAAAGAUCAGUCCAAUUGGACAGUCCAAGCUCUGCUUGAUUUGAGGAAAAAAGGCAAGUCCUUGGGCCAUGUUCUGAUUGAGCAUUUAGGAUGGUCUGAUAGGCCUGAUUUUUUGAACCAUGCUCAUGUAUGGUGAUCUUGUACAAGUCUUCCAUACAUUCCUGUGGAAACUUGUGUGUAAAAAUGUGUAAAGUUAGCAUUUCAUCAUACUCUUGCCCUCCUUAAAGCUCCUGGUAACAAAGGAAAUUCUAAAAUGGCACACAUGCUCUGGUAACCAAGCAGAGGGCGCACAUGCUCUGUGGAUUUUGUGCAUCUGAAGUCAGAUUUAAGUGUGCUUUUAAUUUAUUUUUAUUUUUAAUGCAAAUGGGCGUGUGCAUUAAAGAAUGGUGCAUAGUUUGAUGUAUGAUAUAGAAUGCAUCAAAUGCUUCAAUAUAAUUGCUAAAUGCCUCUUUAAUCAAAUGAACCAUAUACAUGUUUGCAGGAACUCUUGCAUGCUUCCAUUGCUUGCUGCAGGAAACUUAUAGUGGAAUGGGUUCCAGCUGCCCACCUUGAAGAUACAACUGCAAAAGAGCAUAUUACCAGAUGCUGAAUUCUAUCUCUGGGGAGCAGGACUCAUGUGUGACACUGGCACCUAAGUGCAUUAAAUGCUAAUCCCACUUGGUUGUGGGCAGAGUUGUGUCAACAUAGGAUCUGGUAAAU